Molecule: unclassified non-coding RNA, 378 nt
Filed under: plant metagenome
Description: partial contains 5.8S ribosomal RNA, internal transcribed spacer 2, and large subunit ribosomal RNA
Rfam family: 5.8S ribosomal RNA (bases 1-105)
Source: RNAcentral
GAAAUGCGAUAAGUAAUGUGAAUUGCAGAAUGCAGUGAAUCAUCGAAUCUUUGAACGCACCUUGCGCUCCUUGGUAUUCCUUGGAGCAUGCCUGUUUGAGUAUCAUGAAAUCUUCAAAGUAAAUCUUUUGUUAACUCAAUUGGUUUCUACUUUGGUAUUGGAGGUCUUUGCAGCUUCACACCUGCUCCUCUUUGUUCAUUAGCUGGAUCUCAGUGUUAUGCUUGGUUCCACUCGGCGUGAUAAGUUAUCUAUCGCUGAGGACACUGUAGAAGGUGGCCAAGGUAAAUGCAGAUGAACCGCUUCUAAUAGUCCAUUGACUUGGACAAUACUUUUAUGAUCUGAUCUCAAAUCAGGUAGGACUACCCGCUGAACUUAAGC